Molecule: ribosomal RNA, 468 nt
Filed under: uncultured bacterium
Lineage: Bacteria
Description: partial 16S ribosomal RNA
Rfam family: Bacterial small subunit ribosomal RNA
Source: RNAcentral
GACGAACGCUGGCGGCGUGCUUAACACAUGCAAGUCGAACGGAAAGGCCCUGCGUUUGUGGGGUGCUCGAGUGGCGAACGGGUGAGUAACACGUGAGUAACCUGCCCUUGACUUUGGGAUAACUUCAGGAAACUGGGGCUAAUACCGGAUAGGAGCUCCUGCUGCAUGGUGGGGGUUGGAAAGAUUCGGCGGUUGGGGAUGGACUCGCGGCUUAUCAGCCUGUUGGUGGGGUAGUGGCUUACCAAGGCUUUGACGGGUAGCCGGCCUGAGAGGGUGACCGGCCACAUUGGGACUGAGAUACGGCCCAGACUCCUACGGGAGGCAGCAGUGGGGAAUAUUGCACAAUGGGCGGAAGCCUGAUGCAGCAACGCCGCGUGCGGGAUGACGGCCUUCGGGUUGUAAACCGCUUUCGCCUGUGACGAAGCGUGAGUGACGGUAAUGGGUAAAGAAGCACCGGCUAACUACGUG